RNAcentral lists this ribosomal RNA (460 nucleotides) under uncultured bacterium. RNAcentral describes it as "partial 16S ribosomal RNA". It matches the Rfam family "Bacterial small subunit ribosomal RNA", at positions 338 to 795 of the family's 1533-position model. The record is from RNAcentral.
CCUACGGGAGGCUGCAGUGAGGAAUAUUGGUCAAUGGACGAGAGUCUGAACCAGCCAAGUAGCGUGAAGGAUGACUGCCCUAUGGGUUGUAAACUUCUUUUAUAAAGGAAUAAAACGAGGCACGCGUGCCUUUUUGCAUGUACUUUAUGAAUAAGGAUCGGCUAACUCCGUGCCAGCAGCCGCGGUAAUCCGGAGGAUCCGAGCGUUUUCCGGUUUUAUUGGGUUUAAAGGGCGCGUAGAUGGGCUGUUAAGUCAGUUGUGAAAGUUUGCGGCUCAACCGUAAAAUUGCAAUUGAUACUGGCAGGCUUGAGUACAGUUGAGGUAGGCGGAAUUCGUGGUGUAGCGGUGAAAUGCUUAGAUAUCACGAAGAACCCCGAUUGCGAAGGCAGCUUGCUAAACUGUGACUGACAUUGAUGCUCGAAAGUGUGGGUAUCAAACAGGAUUAGAUACCCUAGUAGUC